RNAcentral lists this ribosomal RNA (425 nucleotides) under uncultured bacterium. RNAcentral describes it as "bacterial SSU rRNA". It matches the Rfam family "Bacterial small subunit ribosomal RNA", at positions 355 to 777 of the family's 1533-position model. The record is from RNAcentral.
UGAGGAAUAUUGGUCAAUGGGCGAAAGCCUGAACCAGCCAAGUAGCGUGCAGGAUGACGGCCCUAUGGGUUGUAAACUGCUUUUAUGCGGGGAUAAAGGACGCCACGUGUGGUGUUUUGCAGGUACCGCAUGAAUAAGGACCGGCUAAUUCCGUGCCAGCAGCCGCGGUAAUACGGAAGGUCCGGGCGUUAUCCGGAUUUAUUGGGUUUAAAGGGAGCGUAGGCUGUCUGGUAAGCGUGUUGUGAAAUGUAGGCGCUCAACGUCUGAAUUGCAGCGCGAACUACCGGACUUGAGUGCGCAGGAAGUAGGCGGAAUUCGUGGUGUAGCGGUGAAAUGCUUAGAUAUCACGAAGAACUCCGAUUGCGAAGGCAGCUUGCUGUAGCGUUACUGACGCUGAAGCUCGAAAGCGCGGGUAUCGAACAGGA